RNAcentral lists this transfer RNA (81 nucleotides) under Helianthus annuus (common sunflower). It matches the Rfam family "tRNA". From Rfam's summary of the family: Transfer RNA (tRNA) molecules are approximately 80 nucleotides in length. Their secondary structure includes four short double-helical elements and three loops (D, anti-codon, and T loops). Lineage: Eukaryota; Viridiplantae; Streptophyta; Magnoliopsida; Asterales; Asteraceae. The record is from RNAcentral.
GAUUUGGUGAUGAAAUAGUAGAUAUGCGAGACUCAAAAUCUAGUGCUAAAGAGCAUGGAGGUUCGAGUCCUCUUCAAGGCA